This 1234-nucleotide ribosomal RNA is filed under the name metagenome. RNAcentral describes it as "bacterial LSU rRNA". It matches the Rfam family "Bacterial large subunit ribosomal RNA", at positions 1564 to 2808 of the family's 2925-position model. The record is from RNAcentral.
UGAAUACGAGAUGCUACGGCGUCGAAGCAGUCUAUGUCAUACUUCCAAGAAAAGCUUGCACUGUCAUAAACAAAUAAUGCCUGUACCAUAACCGACACAGGUGGGUAGGUAGAGUAUACUAAGGGGCGCGAGAUAACUCUCUCUAAGGAACUCGGCAAAAUGACUCCGUAACUUCGGGAGAAGGAGUGCCUUAUUUAUAAAGUUGCAAUAACAAGAUCCAAGCAACUGUUUACCAAAAACACAGGUCUCCGCUAAGUCGUAAGACGAUGUAUGGGGGCUGACGCCUGCCCAGUGCCAGAAGGUUAAAGAAGUUGGUUAGCAUCCGCGAAGCUGAUAACUGAAGCCCUGGUGAACGGCGGCCGUAACAAUAACGGUCCUAAGGUAGCGAAAUUCCUUGUCGGGUAAGUUCCGACCCGCACGAAAGGCGUAAUGAUUUGGAUACUGUCUCGGAGAGGGGCUCGGUAAAAUAGACUUGUCUGUGAAGAUGCGGACUACCUGCACCAGGACAGAAAGACCCUAUGAAGCUUUACUGUAACCUGAAAUUGAAAUUGGACUUUACUUGCGCAGUAUAGGUGGGAGGCGUUGAGAAUAUUCUUGCGGGAUUAUUGGAGCCAUCAGUGAGAUACCACUCUUGUAAUGUUAGAUUUCUAACUUUGUAUCAUUAUCUGGUCAAAGAACAGUUUCAGGCGGGCAGUUUGACUGGGGCGGUCGCCUCCUAAACGGUAACGGAGGCGCACAAAGGUUUCCUCUGAACGGGUAGAAAUCGUAUCUAGAGUGUAAAGGCAUAAGGAAGCUUGACUGUGAGACCUACAAGUCGAGCAGGGACGAAAGUCGGUCUUAGUGAUCUGACGGUGCUGAGUGGAAAGGCCGUCACUCAACGGAUAAAAGUUACUCUAGGAUAACAGGCUGAUCUCCCCCAAGAGUUCACAUCGACGGGGAGGUUUGGCACCUCGAUGUCGGCUCAUCGCAUCCUGGGGCGGUAGUACGUCCCAAGGGUUGGGCUGUUCGCCCAUGAAAGCGGUACGCGAGCUGGGUUCAGAACGUCGUGAGACAGUUCGGUCCAUAUCCGGUGUAGGCGUUAGAAUAUUGAGAGGAGCCUUCUUUAGUACGAGAGGACCGAGAAGGACAUACCUCUGGUGUACCAGUUAUCGUGCCAACGGUAAACGCUGGGUAGCUAUGUGUGGAGUGGAUAACCGCUGAAAGCAUCUAAGUGGGAAGCCCACCUCAAGAUAAG